RNAcentral lists this long non-coding RNA (7900 nucleotides) under Triticum aestivum (bread wheat). RNAcentral's name for it is "long non-coding RNA (TAES_LNC003074)". The record is from RNAcentral. Lineage: Eukaryota; Viridiplantae; Streptophyta; Magnoliopsida; Poales; Poaceae.
UCCUGUUCUCUUGGAUCCCCUUUCUUGUCCAGCUCACCGGGGUGCCGCCGCUCGCGGUUGCAACGCGAGCCGCAGGAAUCAGUGGGAUCCUUCGGAUCGGUGUCCACACCUCCGGCCGCCGUGGACCACCUCGUUUUCUGGUGCAUUCUUGCUCCUAGGUAGUUCCCCUAGUUCCAUUGUUGCUCCCGCCGUUCCUUUAACUAGAUGACCCGGUGCGCCAAAUGGCGCAGAGACCCAUUUAAAACCAUAUUCAUGUUGAAAAAUAUUUACCUUUUAUAGUAACUUUAUGUUUGAUCAAACAUAGAGACCAUGUCAAACCCGAAGUGUUUUGAACGUGUAUUUGGGAAAUGUGCCAUUUGACUCUAUGUUACGCAAGUAAGGUGCAAGGUCCAAAUUCAAGCAUCAAGGGUAAUGAUUCUAAACCUUUUGUAACAGAAACCUUUGCAUUUGUUAGUAACUUCGAGUUUUAGCAAGCACUAAGGGUAAUAAUUCUAAACCUUUUAUAUGAAAAAUUAAGGAAUACCUAUGUUCAAACUAUAUACUUUAGCAUGUGAAACUAAUUCAAACCAUGCAAGUUGAAAUAUUUAGAGACCGAUCAUAAAAUUGCCAAAUCAGGAUAUAGAAGCAAGAACAAAGUACCGUCAGUUUCGUCGAACUAACAGAAAUGCAUUUUACAUUGCCUGCUCACUACUAUUAUUGUCCAUAAAUAAAUGUCUAUCUAUUGUUGUACCAAGGUUAACUUGAAUUAGCUAGGAUGAAUUAAACACUUCUGAAAUGAGCAAUAACAUAUCAACAGGGUAUGCAUCUGCAUGAGAUGACUGAUCUUUUCUUCUUAGCAACGAAGAAAUAUUGAUUUCAGUCACGGGCAAACCAAGAUGCAGGCAAAUCUAAAAUUUCUUAGUCUUUGACCAUGUCUAAGGAACAACACUAACUCAAAAUUGAAAUAAUACCAUGUUGGUAAAGGUUCGCCUGUUAAGCGGUCUGAUUCAGUGAGGAUCCACCUGAGGAACUGACGUGUUGAUAUUGUAAUCGAAGUUGAGGAACAACGACGAUGGUCUGAAAGAGAAAGGGUGAGCGAGAGAAGGUUUGGUACACGGAGGGAAGAAGGGGAUUGAUAAGGUCAAGGCGUCAGCAACCAUGUCUGGUGCCCAUGUCAACACAACAAAACUUAAUUUAUUAUUUACCUUUUUUCGAAGCCCAACAACAUGGUGUAAAUUUGAAUUGGCACAACUAAAUUAAAUUAUUUUGUCUAAAAAAGAUGUCAAAUGAAAAAAUAAAAAGUUAAAUCAAAUAAAUGAAAGAAACAGUAGCUGAUAUAUUUAUAAUGGUUAUCCAGCAGUGGUAAUACAAAUGAUCAGUAACGGUAGCUAUUUUAUAUGAACGGUACUGCUAGUAGAUUUAUAGCGGUUAUCCAGCAGCGGUGAUACAGAUGAUGGAUCUUUUCAAACAUUAGCUGGGCAUAUAUAUCAUCAUGGAUAGAUACUUGAUUACAUAUAAAACACAUGACCACAAAGGGAUGUUUAGCACAUAGAUGAUUACAAAAAUCUGAAGUCUAUUGAUGUCUUAUUGUUCAGAGCAGGAACAAAAGGGUUAGGGCAUCAUUGGAACUAAACAUGGAGUAUACUGCAGACGAAACAAAAAGUGGCUUCUCCAGGGGUCACACAUGCAUUGUAGGUAAGACAGAUCCAACAAAGAUAAUUAGAAACGGCCUUUCAUAGUUUCCAGGCGUUGUUCUAACUUCAUACCUAUGAAGCGUAAUUCUUUGCCAAUUCCUCAAUGCCUAUAAGUGCUGCUAUCAUAACUCCUUUGGUGUCAUCUUGUCCUUUUAGGUGGCGAACAGUUGUCGUGUUCUGCAGAAAACAAAAGGGCAGAAGUUGAUGUGACAUAACACAUAACACAUAACAUGUGAAUAAAGAUGACAUCCUUGUGGCACUCAAAGAAAUAGUGCUCAUAUGGUUAAUUUAAAUACUUAAUCGUAUCCAACUCCCACCGUUCCUAAAUAUAAGUCCUUUUAGAGAUUUCAAUGCGGACUACAUACAGAACAAAAUAAGUGAAUCUACAUUCUAAAAUAUGUCUAUAUACAUCCAUAUGUAAUUUGUAUUGGAAUCUCUAAAAAGACUUCUCCUCAUCAAGAAGAUCACAUACACUUUAUCUAUCCUGUACAAUGAGCAUAGGACAAGCUCAGCUAGUGUAACUACCAAUUAGCUAUGUGAUGAUCAGCUUAUAAGAAAAUCAACUUUGAUUAUGUGUCUUGCGCCAAGACUACUCCAGAAACAUGCAUGUUGAAUGAAAUGAACAAACAAAUAGCCAAAAGACCAUUGGCUAUCCUUGACUGGCUAGUUGACUAAAUGGCUCAGGAAAAUAAAUUGUCAUGACAUAUUAUAAAUAAUAAAAAGGCAAAAGGCCACAAUAUGUGGUACAUAAUGUUCACAGUCCAUCGGCUUCACCAAACACUAAAAAGGGGUAAGCAUAAAUACACCUCGCUAAUCCCAUGGAGGCACUUCUCACAAAAAAAGGCAAAUGAAUGAAAACAGACAGGUAUCUUGUUUUCCUAGACUGUUGCAUGCAUGGCGAAAUGACUAUAGCAAAAAGAUGUGUGCUAUAGAUUUGAAGAAAAUACGGGUUCGCCUGUGAGGAAUAUACUAAAAGUCUACAACAAUAAUCAUAGUGAGGUAAUCAAGAAAAUAGUGCAAAUGCCUGAAUCUGAUAUGCUAUAGAACUCAUCCUUCCAUAUAUAGUUUUCCUAUCUUCCAUGUGGAAGAGAUUAAGGUAAAUACUAACAGUUCGAAUUUGUUUUAGAAUAUAGGAGAGGCAUAUAUAAGUAAACUAAAAGGAAAAACCUACACACACAUGGUGCAACACCAGUCAUGCUAUUUAUUUCAAGCACAAUGGUAAAUACUAACUUGCCAAACCUCAUAUCUUUACUAACUAUGAUACUGAAGAAGAAGUUACUGAAGAACAAACUAAUCAUUCCAGUGCUACAUAAUCAUGAAAAGGAAAAAAAGGGCAGCCCCAGUGCAUGUAGCUCCCGCUUGCGCAGGGUCUGGGGAAGGGUCCGACCACUUUGGGUCUAUUGUACGCAGCCUUUCCCUACAUUUCUGUAAGAGGCUGUUUCCAGGACUUGAACCCGUGACCUCAUGGUCACAAGGCAGCAGCUUUACCACUGCGCCAAGGCUCCCCUUCGCACAUAAUCAUGAAAAGGAACUGUGAUGAAAACCCAGGUAAAAAAGUAUGUAAGAUAUAACAAAAAGGGAGGCACACAUGAAUCAUUUCUUCUGUUGGAGGCAAAGAAUCUAAGGCCUUAUACCUCUAUCCCCAAUUCUUUCUCUCUUUAUCAGAAUAUAACUAAGAACCACUGCACAAAUAUGCAUUCAGUAUGAAGCAUAGGUCGCUGGAAUAUAAGCAAACAAAAUAGUUGGCAUACAUAGAAACUAAUCUAAACAUGGCUAAAACAAACAAAUAUCAGAAUGCAGAAAAAACUUGACUUUGAAAGAGAGAGAGAGAGAGAGAGAGAGAGAGAGAGUACACUUUCAUCAAACUCUUCCUGAGGAUUCUUCCUCUCCUCUUCUUUCUCAGAUCUGCACAUCAUGUUUACAAAAAUAAAGAAAUCGAAAUCAGAUUAAAAGAGAACUGGGGGGAUCAAGAGGUAGGUGGGUGGGCGGUGUGAGGACGUGCAACCUGGAUUGGGGACAGGGGACGACGACCGGUGAGCAACGACCAUCAGUCAUGGCCGGCGCCACUUCUCCACUCCACGACGACGCGAGCGACGCCUAGAGCUCUGGCAUCGCGGUCCUGCCUCCACCUCCGUUCUUCUCACCUCCCAUGCUCCUGCACACCCAUCAUUAAAACCAAACACCGAAACCCUAACUGUGAAAUAUAAAUUAAUUUAAGGAGAUAGGAAUUAGGAGAAGGAGCUUACAUAGGGGAGGAGUUCACACCCCUUCUUUCUUGUAGAGAUCAAGCCGCCACUGACCGCGAGGUCUGCCCUCCCCCGUCCGCCGCCACACCUCCCUCUCCUCUCUCUCAGAUCAAGCAGCCACCGACCGCGAGGUCGACCCUCUCCCGUCCGCCGCCACACAUCCCUCUCCUCUUUCUCUCUCCUGCGCACUUUUCUCACCACAACAGGUCAUUUCCUUAACUGUAAAUCCUCAAGUGCUACCAAACAAUUUCAAGUUGCACUUCACUUUCUUAGCGUUUUUUUCCACAUCUUGAUGUAGAAGUGGUGAUAACCCCCUCAAAGAAAAUUUAGCGUGUCAUACAUUUGUGUUUCCACUUUGAAGUUUAUUCUGCCGACUUAACAGGCCAACAACUUAUGCUAAGCAUAUUUACUAAUUUGUCAAGGCAUUUUUUUGUCUGACGCUGGAGUAAAAACUUGCACGUCAUGAAAAGACAAUGCAAUGAAGCAGUUCCUUCAUGUAUGGCUCAAAGGGAGAGGGCACCAAUGAGACAGGAGCAAUGACAUGGUACGGCAGGCUAUGAGGGUUAGGUGAGGGAUGAGUGGCGGCGAUGUAGCAGUGAGGGAGGCACUAAGGGUCCACUGCAAGGUGAAGAAUGCUGCGGAAUUGAUUGGGGGAGAAAGAAUGGCUUGGGUUAAUUUUAGGAAAGCGGAAAUUUCACUUUUCAGAUGCACGCCAAUUAUUGGCCAGCUUGCUUUUCAGCCAUCACACACAUGCAUAUGGUCUAGCUGGCAUUUAUGUAUGUCUUGCAAUGAUAGAUGCCAUUGAUGCUAGAGAUUUUACCUGGCACUUACCAAAAAUUCCUUUGUUUCAUUACUGAGCGGGCACAUUAUAAGUGUACGCUGGCACACACGAAAUGCCUUAAGAUUUUAAGAUAUUUAUAAGCGCGGCAUAUAAGUGUAUGCUGGCAGAUUUCAUGCUUUUCUAUUAGGUGCCCCUAAUAAUAAGCUAGUAUGAGAGUCUGUUAUAACGAUGACUCAAAUCUUUUUCUAUCAUAAUCAUUGGCACAUUCUAGGACACAAGUUACUGAAGAAAAAAACGUUCACUCAUGGUAGGAAAGUAAAUCAACAUCAUGUCUCCCAAAAUUAUGUCAGCAGACUAGCGAUAAGAUUUGAGUACCAAAGCCAUCUAUAGCAGAGGUAGCUAAACCAAACAUACGUGAAGUGAAAAGCCAGCCGUAUAGUAGAUCUAUUUCAAGAUUCGGAUAUAGCCCUAUUACAAGUUUCAGAAAUAAAACCUGAUAUGACAAGUCAAGUUGGAAUAAGAUAAUAUAGCAUUCCCCCAAAAUGAAUGUAUAGACAAACUCUGGAAACAUACAGGAUUCGUGGAGACGUCUCGCCUAUAUGCACGCCCAAAUGUAUGGAGAAAAAAGAAACUGCUAAAUUUCGAGAGAUAUGAUAACAUCAUCGGCAAGAAAUGUGUGUCCCACCCCCUAACACAGUUGAAAUAUGACUUCCAGUGAGCAGUGAAGUUGCCAACGAUAAUAUCAGAUCUCAGAUAUAGCUACUUCCAUUCCUUGAACCUUACAUACAUGGAAAAUUAACUUCCUCUCAGUAGCAGAACAUAUAACAACUGAAACAUAAAGUGGAAAGUAACCUGCAAUGCCACAAAUCAUAUAUUGUUGCUCCAUGACCACUGCCUAAAAAAGGACUUCCCGGCUCAGUGUUGCAGGUCCUCUUAUAUGUCACCAAGAGGAGGAAGGACACCUAGCCCUGCAAAUGAAAGCAAAUUCAUAAUGCUGCAUCUCACCUUUCAAGGGAUAAAAAGAGCAAAAAAUGAUUAUAUGUCGUUCCUAAGUCAUUUGGCCAUUUCAGCUAGACGGUGCGAGACGAUAGAUGAUCCAAACAACAUGGAACGAUAGUUGAUUCUAUUUGCUGGGAUGAUAGAUGAUCCUAUUUGAUCCCUUGAUUCCAUACUUGCAUAUUUCUCUGUAAUUUCCUUGCUAUCUGCACGGCAUAAUCCUAGUUGAUUAAAUACACAUUCCUCUGCAUCGGUUAUAACUAAGAACAAGAAAUGCAGAAAGCAACAGCUAGGCCAAAACAGUCAAAACAAGGGAGAUAAUCAGGUAGCAUUGCAAAGUAACGAACCUUCAGUCAUCAAUGUCUCCCUGACAGAAUCAUGUAAUUUCUUGCUACUGAAGGCGGUAUUGAUCCCGAUCACCACAAAAGCCUUUUUCCUUUCCUGCCUUGCCAUCUGCACUCUCAAGCAGCUCAUGCUUGCUACGCCGCACUGCCAGCGUAGCGAUAAACUUGUCUAAAUAUCUACACACAAUUAUGAUAUAUUCCAAUUAGUCCCCCAAAUAGAUUUGUAAUGCAAAAAUGCAAAUAAAUUCGUAUCAUCUUUCAAUAUUCAUGUCGACAUACUGGGAGUCUUUGCCACUUCCCCAUCACGUCCCUGUCGUCGGAUGGUUUCUGAAAUCAAGAAAGGGUGUUCACAGAAUUACAAACCAAAGGGGAAACUAAAGACUCCCAAAUCUAUCUCUCUUUUUCCCCAAAAUUAGGCACCACGAAAUUAGAUCACAAGAAGGAGAUCAACAAAGAACAAAUCACCCGGUAGCCCUCUCCUAUACCUUGCGCUACCGCCUACUUCUUUGGCGAGAACCACCCCGGCCAGCUCUGGAGUCGAGCCACCGCCACCGCCCCGUAUGCCGGUCCUGUCGCUUUUCCCUCCUUGGCAACCAGGCGAGCGACCUCGCCGGCACCAGGCCGACGCCGGCCGGCGACCCACUCCGUCGCACCACCAUGACCAUGGGUCCAUGGCCUCCUCCUCCCCAUGCAUCUGCCAUUACCGCAGCCACUCACCUCCGCCGCGACGAACAGCGCCGCAGACCAGUGCCGCGCGCCGCCAUUACCACGGCCUACUCCUCCAGAUGCGGCCAUGCCCGUGAGGAGGAGAAGGGAACGGGCAGCUCGAGAUGGAGCAACGCCGGUCGCCUCCGGGUGCGGCGGCUCUAGCGAGAUGGGAAGAGCAGAGGGAGGCGGCAGUUGCGCUGGGAGUAGAGAGCGCCGAGCGGGGAAGGAGGGACGCGGGGGACCGCUCCGACCCGGCCGCCCUCCAUGGGGUCGCCGCCGAGGCGCGCGGAUGGAGGAGACGAGGAGGCGGCGCGCGGAUGGAGGAGGAGGCGAGGAGGCGGCGUGGAUGGAGGAGGCGAGGACGCGGCUAGGGUUCAUGGGGAAAACGCGGUCUGUGCGGUCUCGCUCCUACCCGCGCUGCCUGCCUUUUUGGCCCGCUGAAAAGACUAAAAUGCCCUUGGCCCGCUGAAAAUACUAAAAUGCCCUCGGCGGGGUGCAGAAUUUAUAAGCGGUGGCAUAGCGAUUAUAUGGGGCGACGUGGAGGGCGCGGUCGUGACUAUGAGUCUAGGAGGGUUUAUAUGUUCAAUGGUGAUUCCAUGCGCUGCUGUACAGGAACCUCUUGGACCGAGGCCACCUUCCUCGGUUUCAUCAGCCGCUGUGACGCCACCGUGGUCAUCCUCCUGACUGAACAGCUCCAGGGACCGUGAUGGGCUCCUCUUUGUCUACGUCCCCUCUGGACCAACGGGUCCCUCCUACUUCCUCGACACUGACCACCAUUGCCGUUGUCAGGAGCUCGUUGCUCUGCUCUGUCCAACCUCGCCACUAACAGCAGGUUGAGAAACUGCCUAUGCACGUUACUUGCUGCGUGCUACUGUUGUUGUUUGCUGCUUGCUGUCGCUGGCUACUUUGAUGUUGUCGAUGCUUUGCUGCAUGCUGCUGGCUGCUAGCUGUUUGUUGCUUGCUAUUGAGCCGUGACCUGCAUGUAGAUGAGAGAAAGUGAGAUUGAAUUGCUAUGAAGAAAGAUGGCCAUAUUCAGUACUGUUUAAUUUAGUUGCUUGUCACACUUUCAGACUAAGGCUAGACUUCCCUGUGUUAUAUAAGUUUUCACUCAAACAUUUUAUUUAUCAGAAAAAUCAUACAAAAAUGCUCAAC